Rhinopithecus roxellana (golden snub-nosed monkey) is the source of this 603-nucleotide RNA transcript. It is a transcript of the gene named metallothionein-1E pseudogene, with no coding region annotated. The transcript is spliced from 2 exons. Lineage: Eukaryota; Metazoa; Chordata; Mammalia; Primates; Cercopithecidae. The record is from RefSeq and is a predicted model, not a curated record.
CUGCGUCUCUCUUCACAAGGUGGCCAUCAUCAUUCCAUUCCGCAACCGGCAGGAGCACCUCAAGUACUGGCUGUAUUACUUGCACCCCAUCCUGCAGCGCCAGCAGCUGGACUACGGCAUCUAUGUUAUCAACCAGGAUAUUGAAGGAAUGAGUGGGGAGAGGCUUUCCUGGUUGAGAUAGAGAAGAACCACGCCCUCCAGGUGCUCCACCGCCUCUUGGCUUCUCGCUUGGGAACUCCAGAGUCUCGCCUCGGCUUGCAAUGGACCCCAACUGCCCCUGCUCCGCUGGUGGCUCCUGCACGUGCACCGGCUCCUGCAAGUGCAAAGAGUGCAAAUGCACCUCCUGCAAGAAGAGCUGCUGCUCCUGCUGCCCCGUGGGCUGUGCCAAGUGUGCCCAGGGCUGCGCCUGCAAAGGGGCGUCGGAGAAGUGCAUCUGCUGUGCCUGAUGUGGGAAGAGCUCUGCUCCCAGAUGUAAAUAGAGCAACCUUCACAACCUGGAGGUUUUUUUACAUACAACCCCUAGCCAUUUGCUGCAUGUCUUUUCAUAUUAAAUAUGUGAAUGACAAUAAAAAAAUUUUGACUUGAAAAAAAAAAAAAAAAAAA